CACAAUUAUAACCGACCAUACAACACACGAAUAGAACGAACUUUAAACUGUCAUUUUGAAAACUAUACGCAAAAGUAGUGGAUUGCGGUCCGGGUUCAGACUACCAAAUCAGUUUUUCGAAAUUUGAAGGUUUUUCCGGUUCCAAAAAACGGACAAAUUUCAAAAACAAGGAAUGACAGUUAAAAUGUUUCAAAAAACAACUACUAGACGAAGAAACAACAACUUAUUCGGUAUGUGUUAAGUGUUGCGUAAUGUGUUAAAAACCAAUGUAAACGUCCAAUAAAAUUACAGAUUCCCUGAAGAAGAUCCAAUAAGGAUCGAAACGUUGGAAAUAGAAAACAUAUAGUUGUUUUUGAUCCCCGAAAAGACUGAAACGCCACAAAAAUACCCAAAAAGUCUACCAAACAGUCGUCGCCAAAGCUGUUGAUAUAGUUAGCAGUUGAAAAAAGUUUCUUAUAAUUAUAAUGUAUGUUUUCAACUAUUGCGUCCAGUGGGUCUCGAACCCUGAUCGAGUGAUUACCGGUCACAGCCGAUACCCCUGUACCAACGGGACUCAGUGAGAGGGAGAGUGGUUGAAGGCUACGCUUUCGUACUGCUGUCGCAUUGAAGAUGAAAAGCGGAAUCUAUUUUUAGAUUCGAGGUCCACCAGACCCUCAGUUUUGGGAAAGGUUUGAAAUGUGCGUUUGGAAACUGAUAUCAUAUUUUGUUAUCAUUUAGUAUUUUUAUGUUAUCGCGAUAGACUAAAAUUAUUGAUAACUAAAUUUGUUAUCAUCUGAUUAUCAUCAAUUGAAAAAAAUGAUAACAAAAAUAACAAUAUGAUAACACAGAUAACGUAGUUUAUUAUCAAAGUGAUAUCACUUAGUUAUCCGCCUUUGCUCGGGAAUCUAUCACUAUUCACACUUUCAGUGAUCUCUGUCACGGUCGCCAACUAACGUUUGGAGUUCGGAUGAUAGCAUAACAUACCACGUUCUCUGUUUCAACUUCAGUACUCGACUGCCCGUGUGUUUCGCUUACCAUAUAUCUUAAAGGCUACUUGCUCAUGCUUGCUCAAACUCAAGCCACCAGCGAUGUUUCCAAAAACAAUUUAAUUACAACCAUAUGGCCCUGCAGCGUAAGCAUAGCUGCGCCCAUGCGGAAGGCUAAAAACAGUAUUCAACAGGCAAAAGUGUGUAAACAAUAGAAAGGUUCGAGACGA
Molecule: long non-coding RNA, 1195 nt
Organism: Aedes albopictus (Asian tiger mosquito)
Lineage: Eukaryota; Metazoa; Arthropoda; Insecta; Diptera; Culicidae
Exons: 2
Source: RefSeq, a predicted model, not a curated record